UAUCCGUAGGUGAACCUGCGGAAGGAUCAUUAUUGUAUAACCGAGGUGCGAGGGCUGUCGCUGACCCGAAAGGUCGUGCACGCCCGACUGCCCUCACACACAUCCAUCUCACCCCUAUGUGCACCUCCGCGUGGGUCCCCCUUUGGCUUGUUCGGAGGGGGGCUUACGUUUUCACACAAACUUUGUAUGAAGUGUAGAAUGUAUUUUUUGCUUUUGCGAUCACGCAAUCAAUACAACUUUCAACAACGGAUCUCUUGGCUCUC
This 263-nucleotide unclassified non-coding RNA is filed under the name plant metagenome. Its description in RNAcentral is "partial contains small subunit ribosomal RNA, internal transcribed spacer 1, and 5.8S ribosomal RNA". The record is from RNAcentral.